This 708-nucleotide ribosomal RNA is filed under the name Pristimantis frater (Meta robber frog). RNAcentral describes it as "partial small subunit ribosomal RNA". It matches the Rfam family "Bacterial small subunit ribosomal RNA", at positions 329 to 1406 of the family's 1533-position model. The record is from RNAcentral. Lineage: Eukaryota; Metazoa; Chordata; Amphibia; Anura; Strabomantidae.
GCCCAAAACACCUAGCCUCGCCACACCCAUAAGGGUUCUCAGCAGUGAUCAACAUUAAAAAUAAACGUAAGUUUGAUUUAGCCAAAUUAAUACAGAGCCGGCCAAUCUGGUGCCAGCCGCCGCGGUCACACCAUGUGGCUCAAAUUGAUUCUAGCACGGCGUAAAGUGUGAUUAAAGAAAUACCCUCUGGGGUCAAAAUUAAAUUAAGCUGUCGCACGAUUAUUCUUAAGAAGUCCAAUCUCGAAAGAUACCCCAACUCAUCAACUUGAAUUCACAACAACUAGGGUACAAACUGGGAUUAGAUACCCCACUAUGCCUAGUCGUAAACUUUUAUUUACAUUAUAUCGCCAGGGAACUACGAGCAAAGCUUAAAACCCAAAGGACUUGACGGUACCCCAUAUCCUUCUAGAGGAGCCUGUCCUAUAAUCGAUACUCCACGUUUAACCUCACCAUUCUUAGCUAAUCAGUCUGUAUACUUCCGUCGUCAGCUUACCGCGUGAGCGAACAGUAAGCUCAAUGUCACUCAUCAAUACGUCAGGUCAAAGUGCAGCACAUAAAAUGGGAAGAGAUGGGCUACACUUUCUACCUUAGAAAAUACGAAAGAUUAUGUGAAACCAUACUCAGAAGGUGGAUUUAAUAGUAAGAGGAGCUAGAAUACCCCUCCUAACUUGGCACUGGGGGUGUGUACACACCGCCCGUCACCCUCUU